CGCCUGUUUAUCAAAAACAUCUUUUCUCGUUAGUUUUUGAAGUAUGGCCUGCCCACUGACUUUGAAUGUUGAAGGGCCGCGGUAUUUUGACCGUGCAAAGGUAGCAUAGUCAUUAGUUCUUUAAUUGUGAUCUGGUAUGAAUGGCUUGACGAGGCAUAAGCUGUCUUAAUUUUGAAUUGUUUAUUGAAUUUGGUCUUUGAGUUAAAAUUCUUAGAUGUUUUUAUGGGACGAGAAGACCCUAUAGAGUUUAACAUUUAUUACGGUCUUUUUCUGUUUGUGAGGGUUUGCGGGCUGUUUAAUGUGUUUUGUUGGGGUGAUGGGAGGGAUAUUAUUUAACCCCUCCUUUGUGUUGUUAUAUUUAUUUAUGUUUGCUUGAUCCAUUUAUUUUGAUUGUAAGAUUAAAUUACCUUAGGGAUAACAGCGUAA
This 426-nucleotide ribosomal RNA is filed under the name Reticulitermes flavipes (eastern subterranean termite). RNAcentral's name for it is "partial 16S ribosomal RNA". The stretch from base 1 to 165 matches the Rfam family "Archaeal large subunit ribosomal RNA", at positions 1889 to 2097 of the family's 2987-position model. Lineage: Eukaryota; Metazoa; Arthropoda; Insecta; Blattodea; Rhinotermitidae. The record is from RNAcentral.